AUUGAACGCUGGCGGCAUGCCUUACACAUGCAAGUCGAACGGCAGCGGGCCCUUCGGGGUGCCGGCGAGUGGCGAACGGGUGAGUAAUGCAUCGGAACGUACCCGGGAGAGGGGGAUAACCGGCCGAAAGGCUGGCUAAUACCGCAUGAACUCGGAAGAGCAAAGCGGGGGACCUUCGGGCCUCGCGCUCUCGGAGCGGCCGAUGUCCGAUUAUGCUAGUUGGUGGGGUAAAGGCCCACCAAGGCGACGAUCGGUAGCGGGUCUGAGAGGACGAUCCGCCACACUGGGACUGAGACACGGCCCAGACUCCUACGGGAGGCAGCAGUGGGGAAUCUUGGACAAUGGGCGCAAGCCUGAUCCAGCAAUGCCGCGUGGGUGAAGAAGGCCUUCGGGUUGUAAAGCCCUUUCGGCGGGGAAGAAAUCGGUCAGGCGAAUAGUCUGGCCGGAUGACGGUACCCGCAGAAGAAGCACCGGCUAACUACGUG
RNAcentral lists this ribosomal RNA (485 nucleotides) under uncultured bacterium. Its description in RNAcentral is "partial 16S ribosomal RNA". It matches the Rfam family "Bacterial small subunit ribosomal RNA", at positions 28 to 507 of the family's 1533-position model. The record is from RNAcentral.